GACGAACGCUGGCGGCGUGCUUAACACAUGCAAGUCGAACGGAAAGGCCCUGCUUUUGUGGGGUGCUCGAGUGGCGAACGGGUGAGUAACACGUGAGUAACCUGCCCUUGACUUUGGGAUAACUUCAGGAAACUGGGGCUAAUACCGGAUAGGAGCUCCUGCUGCAUGGUGGGGGUUGGAAAGUUUCGGCGGUUGGGGAUGGACUCGCGGCUUAUCAGCUUGUUGGUGGGGUAGUGGCUUACCAAGGCUUUGACAGGUAGCCGACCUGAGAGGGUGACCGGCCACAUUGGGACUGAGAUACGGCCCAGACUCCUACGGGAGGCAGCAGUGGGGAAUAUUGCACAAUGGGCGGAAGCCUGAUGCAGCAACGCCGCGUGCGGGAUGACGGCCUUCGGGUUGUAAACCGCUUUCGCCUGUGACGAAGCGUGAGUGACGGUAAUGGGUAAAGAAGCACCGGCUAACUACGUG
Molecule: ribosomal RNA, 468 nt
Filed under: uncultured bacterium
Lineage: Bacteria
Description: partial 16S ribosomal RNA
Rfam family: Bacterial small subunit ribosomal RNA
Source: RNAcentral